Molecule: ribosomal RNA, 207 nt
Filed under: uncultured bacterium
Lineage: Bacteria
Description: partial 16S ribosomal RNA
Rfam family: Bacterial small subunit ribosomal RNA
Source: RNAcentral
AGCGCAGGCGGUGCGGCAAGUCUGACGUGAAAGCCCGGGGCUCAACCCCGGUACUGCAUUGGAAACUGUCGUACUAGAGUGUCGGAGGGGUAAGCGGAAUUCCUAGUGUAGCGGUGAAAUGCGUAGAUAUUAGGAGGAACACCAGUGGCGAAGGCGGCUUACUGGACGAUAACUGACGCUGAGGCUCGAAAGCGUGGGGAGCGAACA